UACGUAGGGUGCAAGCGUUGUCCGGAAUUAUUGGGCGUAAAGAGCUUGUAGGCGGUUUGUCGCGUCUGCUGUGAAAUUUCGGGGCUCAACCCCGAACUUGCAGUGGGUACGGGCAGACUAGAGUGUGGUAGGGGAGACUGGAAUUCCUGGUGUAGCGGUGAAAUGCGCAGAUAUCAGGAGGAACACCAGGGGCGAAGGCGGAUCGCUGGGCCAACACUGACGCUGAGACGCGAAAGCUAGGGGAGCAAACGGG
RNAcentral lists this ribosomal RNA (253 nucleotides) under uncultured bacterium. RNAcentral's name for it is "partial 16S ribosomal RNA". It matches the Rfam family "Bacterial small subunit ribosomal RNA", at positions 524 to 776 of the family's 1533-position model. The record is from RNAcentral.